AAGUGUUGGAAUUACAGGCGUGAACCACCAUGCCUGGCCAGCUCUAUUUCUUUAAGCCUACAUGUUUUGCACUUGUUAAAAGUAUUUGAAUAUACAAUUACUCAGUUUCCCUUGUUUAUGCUUGAAUUUUGUAUAAUCUUAAAUAUUUUUUCCAAUCUAAGCUUUAUUUUAUCCCGUUUCUUCUAUAUUUGUAUAACUUUAGGUGGCUAUCUUCAUUGAAAAUUUUUUCUCAAAAGCCUUAAAAUAGAACAUAGUUCUUGGCAGCAAUUUAAAGUUAUUUGAGGAGAAGGGGAGACUUACAAUGAUGCUUCAAUUGAAGCAAACUAAAAAGUAAUGAAGCAAGACAGAGGAAAAAGCAGUAUUCACUUGAGCACAUCCCAAAAGAAUAACAUUUCAAAUGUAACUAGAAAAAAGAUUGCUGAAGUUUGCAAUACAGAAAUAAUUAUUAAGAUAGCUUUAAAGCCCUGCUCAGCUUUUGAAUGUUGGGAAUUGACCCAGAGGUGGCUGUAAACUAAGAUGGUUCCUUCAGUAAUGACCAUUUUUUCUUUUUCAAGAUGAUGAUUAUUCCCCACCUUCUAGGACACAAAGACCAACGAGCCACCACAGCCACCAGUCCCAGAACCCGCUAAUGCUGGGGAACGGAAAAUGAGGGAGUUCAACUCUGGCCCUCACAAUCCAGUGGAGGAGACGAAACUCAUCUGCCUCUGUCCCUCUGGGCACGCCUCAUGCCAGGUGCAUCUGUGGACAGGGGCCAUGCUCCUGGGCUUCCAAAGUUGGAGAAAGCUGCCAGGCUCAGAGCCACCUAAGCUGAAGAUUCCCUUGAGAACAAGUACUGUCCUGCGGUUUCAUGGCCUUUCUUCCAUUUGUGGUUCUUGCGAAGUGGAAUUUAAAUGACAUCUUAUCAAGAUCGAUAAAUACUAGUUUCCCAGUGCUGGAAUAUAGAAAAUGGAUGGACAAGUAAAUCCCACUCAGCACCCAUAGUCCAGGCAUGGGGACCUCAACACACCUGAGCCCCAAACAUCACCUUUCAUUCUGGACCUACCAUGAAAGACUUCUGAAUCCAGGAAGAGAAACUGACUGGGCAACAUGUUAUUCAGAAACAGGACCUUGCCCUGUCACUCAGGAUGGAGUUCAAUGGUCCUAUCAUGGCUCAUUAUAGCCUUAAACUCCCAGGCUCAAGCAAUCCUACCAUGUCAGCCUUCCCAGUAGCUGGGACUACAGGAAGUGACCUCACAAUGACUCAAGCUACCACAUACUGUUGAUUGUGAAAUGCCAGUUGAAGCAUAUGUCCUGCGAGCUUAGGGGUGCUACAAGUUGACCACUGCAGCAGUAAAGAUGACUCUGAAGAAUGGCAUGGGAUGGAUCCUUUCGAAUGCACUUGAGCAGCGGUCUCCAACCACAGGGCCACAGAGCUGGAGCUGGAUCUACCAUGAAAGACUUCUGAAUCCAGGAAGAGAGACUGACUGGGCAACAUGUUAUUCAGGAGAUGGGGUCUCACCCUGUCACCCAGGCUUGAGUACAG
RNAcentral lists this long non-coding RNA (1522 nucleotides) under Homo sapiens (human). RNAcentral describes it as "HSALNT0321727". Lineage: Eukaryota; Metazoa; Chordata; Mammalia; Primates; Hominidae. The record is from RNAcentral.